UUCGGCCGGAUUUUACACAAGUGUUGCAUGGCUGUCGUCAGCUCGUGUCGUGAGAUGUUGGGUUAAGUCCCGCAACGAGCGCAACCCUCAUCCUUAGUUGCCAUCAGGUAAUGCUGAGUACUUUAAGGAAACUGCCAGUGAUAAGCUGGAGGAAGGUGGGGAUGAUGUCAAGUCAUCAUGGCCUUUAUGGAGUGGGCUACACACGUGCUACAAUGGUGUCUACAAUGGGCUGCAAGGUGCGCAAGCCUAAGCUAAUCCCUA
Molecule: ribosomal RNA, 261 nt
Filed under: Wolbachia endosymbiont of Culex pipiens
Lineage: Bacteria; Pseudomonadati; Pseudomonadota; Alphaproteobacteria; Rickettsiales; Anaplasmataceae
Also listed under: 1 other name
Description: partial 16S ribosomal RNA
Rfam family: Bacterial small subunit ribosomal RNA
Source: RNAcentral